GAAAGGCUUCUUCCAGCACCUCUGACUUCAGAGAACUUGCUUCCUGUUGGUUCACGCUGCCUACUAGUCCCACAGCCCAUCACUUCCCCCUUGUGCCAUAACAUUGAGAAAUGCAAGUUCGUACUGCACAGAAGGGCAGAGGAAGCUGCUGUCAUCCAAGGAAUCUGUACUGAAAGAAGAGUACGGAAACACAAUACACAAUGCUAUCAAGAUCAGAAAAUUAAGGGCUCAGCAGAAACACUGUCUUGAUAAAACAUUCUGCCUGAUCUACAGAAGAGGUAUUUUUGCUGGAAGGUCAAGAAUGCAUUCUGUCAUGCAAGGAGAACAGGUAAGAAGACGAAUCACCAGAAG
Mauremys reevesii (Reeves's turtle) is the source of this 351-nucleotide long non-coding RNA. RefSeq lists it as uncharacterized. NCBI's taxonomy places the organism in Eukaryota, Metazoa, Chordata, Testudines, Geoemydidae. The record is from RefSeq and is a predicted model, not a curated record. The transcript has 3 exons.